CCUACGGGAGGCAGCAGUGGGGAAUUUUGGACAAUGGGCGCAAGCCUGAUCCAGCCAUUCCGCGUGCAGGAUGAAGGCCUUCGGGUUGUAAACUGCUUUUGUACGGAACGAAACGGCCUUUUCUAAUACAAGAGGCUAAUGACGGUACCGUAAGAAUAAGCACCGGCUAACUACGUGCCAGCAGCCGCGGUAAUACGUAGGGUGCAAGCGUUAAUCGGAAUUACUGGGCGUAAAGCGUGCGCAGGCGGUUAUGUAAGACAGUUGUGAAAUCCCCGGGCUCAACCUGGGAACUGCAUCUGUGACUGCAUAGCUAGAGUACGGCAGAGGGGGAUGGAAUUCCGCGUGUAGCAGUGAAAUGCGUAGAUAUGCGGAGGAACACCGAUGGCGAAGGCAAUCCCCUGGGCCUGUACUGACGCUCAUGCACGAAAGCGUGGGGAGCAAACAGGAUUAGAUACCCUGGUAGUCCACGCCCUAAACGAUGUCAACUGGUUGUUGGGUCUUCACUGACUCAGUAACGAAGCUAACGCGUAAAGUUGACCGCCUGGGGAGUACGGCCGCAAGGUUGAAACUCAAAUGAAUUGACGG
This 585-nucleotide ribosomal RNA is filed under the name uncultured bacterium. RNAcentral describes it as "bacterial SSU rRNA". It matches the Rfam family "Bacterial small subunit ribosomal RNA", at positions 338 to 916 of the family's 1533-position model. The record is from RNAcentral.